GUAGGUGAACCUGCGGAAGGAUCAUUAAUGAAUUAAAUCGAAAGGGAGUUGUCGCUGGUCUCUCGAGGCAUCGUGCACGCUCUUCUUUCCUUCAUUCAUCUACCCCCAUGUGCACUUACUGUAGGCCGAGAAAUUCGGCCUAUGUAUUUUAUUACACCCCAUAAAAGUUUAAUGAAUGUUUCAAAUAAGAUCGAGGACGCGAGUC
RNAcentral lists this unclassified non-coding RNA (205 nucleotides) under plant metagenome. RNAcentral describes it as "partial contains small subunit ribosomal RNA, internal transcribed spacer 1, and 5.8S ribosomal RNA". The record is from RNAcentral.